Apodemus sylvaticus (European woodmouse) is the source of this 4205-nucleotide long non-coding RNA. RefSeq lists it as uncharacterized. The record is from RefSeq and is a predicted model, not a curated record. NCBI's taxonomy places the organism in Eukaryota, Metazoa, Chordata, Mammalia, Rodentia, Muridae. The transcript is spliced from 5 exons.
GACCUGACCCAGGUUAGAAGCAGAAGUGAAACUGAGGAGAUGGGGAAUCCCCAGCCCUGGGCUUCCCCACCCUGACCUCACCUCCUGGUGACCAAGACUUUACCUCAACCCUGUGCUGUAGGAGAGGCGCUGGGCUGCGAGCCCCACACGGACCGCACAGAGAUCAGUCUCUGUUCACCUGCAGUGGCUGUAAAGAGGAAACUUUGCCUGUUCCCUCAGGAUUUCUCUUCUCAACCUUGGCCUACAGUCCUUGUGUUUCCCACACUCCUCGUGUUUCCUACACUCCUCGUGUCUCCUACACUCCUCGUGUUUCCUACACUCCUCGUGUCUCCGUGUUUCCUACACUCCUCGUGACUCCGUGUUUCCUACACUCCUCGUGUUUCCUACACACCUCGUGUUUCCUCACAGACGAAGCCUCUGUAGCCCCAGAUGGCUGUGAUUUAUUUACAGGGAUCUUCAUUCCCAGUCCUGAGAUUGUCCACGUGGACCUGGGUCAUUCAGUGGAUCCACUGAAGAGAGACCCCUGUGGAGACCACAGACAGCAGGGCACUGACCCCUGUCUACACUGCACUUCCCUGUGUCUGCACUUCCACAGUACAGUGGUCUUAGUGACUCAGUCACAGGUGGAGAGGAACUGUCACCGACUCUAACACAGAAUACUGAUGACAGUGUGGUAGGAGUUGUGUAACCUGUGACCCUCUCAGUCCCUCUCUGACCUUCACUCACACUGUGAGCUGAUGAGGUGAGGGACAUGAAUGUCACAGCUGUGUGGGACACUGCAUCUGAUAACAGAGUUGGCCCCAGAGUACCUCAGGCCUGUGCAGUGUGGACACUGGAAGAAAGAUGAUUCUCACGCAGAGAGUGCACGCUGGUGAGGUGUCCACAGCCACCCCUCAGCCUCACCAGGACUCAGAGGCACCUGUUCCAUGAGGCCCUCCAGGGUCCCACCUGUGGAAGAUGAAAGAGAAGCAUCACGGUCUUGGGCAACAGCGCCGCCUGGUGGAAGAACAGAGGAGGACAGCGCCUGAGCCCACAGAGCUGAGGGAUAGAACCACAGUUGCUGGUUCGGGCUUGGUGUCUGCCUGCUGAGAGGACUGGGCAGCACCUGCUGGUUCCUGUGUGGGGUCUGCUCGUGAGAAGACUGCACUGCAGCUGUUGACUAGUACUUGGUGUUUGCUACGGGACUGAACUGUGGACGAAGAAGAUUGAGCUCACCCCCAAAGAGCUUUUGUUAAACAGGUCCACUUCCCCCGAUAUCCUAAUAACUUUUCUCUUCCACUGCCUCUUGUGGGAGUCGGACAAAAGGAGAGGCUGGGCAUUUAUUAAUGUAGGUGGGAAAAAAUUCAUGCCUACACACCCAGUUUGUUCUUUUAAUCCCUUUCCCCUUCUUUCCCUCACAUUAUAUAGUAGAGAGAAAGACAGAAGAAAAAACAGAGAGAAAGAAAUUCUUGAAUUUGAUAUCCUUUUCCUUGGUCAUGUUUGACACAAGUGACCAACCAUGCUCUCACAACGACAAAUAUUCAUCACCCACUCAACAACCAAAUACCUAUCACCCUAACUCUUGGGAAUGAGGGUAUUGUGUUCUUAAAAUUGCUUCCUGCUGUGUAGGAACGAUGAUAUCUUUCAGGGGCCCUAAGGCAGUUAGGAUAAUGGUCAUGUCCUAAGAAAGCAAGCUGUAACAUUGGCUGUCCACACUCUGUGUGGUGUCUAAAUACAGAGCUUAACUGAAGCCCUGGAUGGAGCAGUCUGUGAGGCUGGACGAUUGUAACCAGCUGUUUUGAAGUUGUUCUGGAUAAUUCUGAGGAGCCAGCUCUUGAGGCAAUUUGAGGUUGGAUCAUCUGGGCUAUUUGUCUUGUCUUCUUUGGUGUCUGGUCCUUUCUCUGUAAACACAGAAACUUUCAUAGGUAAUACACAUGUCUGCAUUAACGCAUGUAUGGAAUGUAUGGUGUGCACAGAUCAGUUAAAGAUGAAUCUCUUCUAUGUGCGAGAAGGAAAGGCAUCAAAUGCUCUAAGUCUGUUCGUGCUAUCUACCCAUGCCGCAAUAUAAAUAUCCACCCAUGCCACAGGAAAGGGUGAUCUGAUGAGCCAUGCGGACUUUGUAGCCAACAAGAUUUAUUGGCUAUGAAUAGCUGACCUCGUGGCUGGAGACAUUCAUGUCUCAGACAGUUUCAGAGCUGUUUCCACACAGAGGGACGAGAAAUCAUGGGUUUGGUUGGCUGGUUGUUUGGCUUUUUGUUCUUUCUUUCUUUCUUUCUUUCUUUCUUUCUUUCUUUCUUUCUUUCUUUCUUUCUUUCUUUCUUUCUUUCUUUCUUUCUUUCUUUCUUUCUUUCUUUCUUUCUUUCUUUCUUUCUUUUUUGGUUUUCGGAGACAUGGUUUCUCCGUGUAGCUCUGACUGUCCUGGAACUCACUCUGUAGACCAGGCUGGCCUUGAACUCAGAAAUCCACCUGCCUCUGCCUCCCAAGUGCUGGGAUUAAAGGCGUGUGCCAACACUGCCCGGCAAGUUCUACUUAUUUUCUUCCUUCAUUUUUGCAGCUAAAAUUUUGCAGAGGUCUCCUUUGGCCAAAUGUAAUCUCUAUUAAUUUUGAAUUCAUAGCUUUCCUUCUCUUGUUGAAACAAAGACAAAACAGCUCCUUGAACUCAACACAUUUCCUUCAUUCCAUUCUGAGGUUCUCACAUAUACACUCUGAUCUAAUCCAGCAGUCCUUUCUCAACUCCAGUGUUUUACAGCGGCUGUGUUCCCUGUCUCUGGACCUUAUGACCAGACUUCAGACAAAGUAGAUUCCAUGAGGGAGGUAGAGUGUGUAGUGCAUGAGGAGGAGCCCUGCACCUCUGUGCACACAUGUAAGGAGCUUGACAAGUUUGCUAAUUCAUUUAAGCAGAAAUUUGGGGAAUGUGUGGGAAUGGAUUUUGGGGUGUGGGAUAAUGGUGGAAGGAACAUAAACGUGGGUCAGGCUGAGAUUUUUGAUGUGGGAAUGCUGAGUGGAGAACUGGUGAAGUAAUAAAAAGCAGCUACAGGUCUCUCUGUGAGUCCCUGGCUGUUCUGGAACUCACUCUGUACACUGGGUUAAUCUUCAACUCAGAGACCUGCCUGCCUCCGGGUAUGCACAACCACGGCCCAGAAAAUGUUCUUAAUCCAAUCACAAGUCUACUGAUUUUUGUUUUAUCAUUUUAGUGUAAAAAUAGUCAACAAAUGAGAGAAAGACUACAUAAUGGUGGCAAAAGAUCAUCUCCACCUUCGAAUCAGUUUCUAGACUUGAGGCAGUUUGCAGACCCAGAACCCAUUGAAUGAAUGAAUGACCCGGUUACCCCCCAGUGAGUAUCUUAUAAAAUACCUAAAAGGUUUACUGCUAGCCUUUCUCCAGUCCGUUCCUAGUGGGACCUACAGACUUUCACCUGGGUAAACCAUGCACUGUGGGGAAGAAAUAAUCAGACUUUCCAGGGUCUACUGGAUACCAAGUCAUAAAAUAGGACACACGGUAACCUAUUAUCAAAUAGAAGUGGUAUAUAAGUAAUCAGGACUGGACAUGUUCUAGAAGCACAAAGAAGUUACAUGAAGACUCUGCCCAAAUGCCUAUGGUCUUGACUCCUGUUACAAUGCCAUCUGCUGCCAAGCAUGCACCUGCAGCCUCAUGAGGUGCCUUGUUAUUGGAAGACUAAGGAAGAAGAGACCAGGGCCUGCCUUGCUGAUGGUUCUCAUGUUGUGUAGGCACCACAGGAAGUGGACAGCUGCAGCAUUACAACCCCUUUCCUGGAUAACCCUGACUCUUGUGAAGGGAAAUCAUCACAGUGGGUGGAAGUUCAGGCCACACCCAUGUUAAUACAUUUUAUUUGGAAGGGGAAAUGGCCAGAUGUGUGACUGUUCUCUAAUUCAUGGGCUGUGGCCAAUGGACUGGCUGGAUGGACAGGGAUGUGGAAAGAGCGUGAUUGGAACCAUCUGGGGAAGAAGCAUGUGCAGAGAUCUUUCCAAAUGGGGAAGGGUGUGAAGACACUUGUGUCCCAUGUACCUGCUCAUCAAAAGGUGAUGUCAGCUGGGGAGAAGUUCACUAAUCAGGUAGCCCUGGAACAUCUGUCCUUCCCCAUGUGAUGAUGGCCAAUCCUCCUGCCUCUGAUUCUUCUCCCAGAGGAUCUCUCUCAGCCUGAAUCAGCAGCGAGGAUAAAACCCAGCAGAAAUGGCCAGACCUUCCCUGAAUCAGUACAAGUCAGC